GACCGCUCGGCUAUCUCCGCCGCUAUUCGGCAACCGUCGUCGAGCUGCCGCUGUCGCAGUUGCCCACGUCGCUGCUAGUGCCACUGCCGCCGCAGGCGCCAUCAGGCGCUAUUGCUAACAACGCUACCGUCGCUGUAUUGCGCCAUAUUUGUUAUUGUUUUGCAGGUUAUCGGACGUUAUAACGAAGCGGUUCCGUGCUUCUCGCGUGUCUUUAAUCCGAAUUGCGUGCAUACGGUCUCGAGUGUGCCGAUAUGAUUGCGGACGAGUAUUCUGAUACACAGUGUCGUACGUAAAAGUGAUCGGUCUCGUUCUUGAAACGCCGGUAUCUUGGGUGCUUGUCGCGUAACGCGCGCGUGUUCGCUGGAAUGGCAUAUUUCAUCUGCGCAGUAGAAUAUCGCGAAUGUCAAGUGAACCGCUGCUUGUCGUGCGAUCGUGUUGAAUACAAGAUUUGCAAUCGCAAGUGAAUUUGUCUCGUUUCUAUCUACGCGUGCAUUUAUUCAAACGACUCUUGUCGCUGCCUCGGGUGACGUGACGGAUCGGCUGCUCGUUCUUUCUUGCAAUGCAAUGCCUGUUAAUACUCUCGCGUGUGUUUCGUCUUUUAUUUGCGUUCACAUAUGUAUGUUAUCCGCGUAAUAUUGAAAGUGCCGAUCGGGCGGUCGUGUGUGAAGUUAAUGUGUAUACGAGAACAACAGAUCGAGAUUUCAGCAGACUUUCAGGCAAAAGUUGGCAUCUGUGGAGCAACUCAUGUCAUCACAUGUGACAAACCAGCAACUUAGAUGUUCUGAGAGGAGGAGGAGGCCUAGGAGAGGCAUCAGGUGGCAGCGGAGCAACCUUGGGUAUCAUCGCAGCUUCGUGCC
Solenopsis invicta (red fire ant) is the source of this 857-nucleotide long non-coding RNA. RefSeq lists it as uncharacterized. NCBI's taxonomy places the organism in Eukaryota, Metazoa, Arthropoda, Insecta, Hymenoptera, Formicidae. The transcript is spliced from 3 exons. The record is from RefSeq and is a predicted model, not a curated record.